AGAGUUUGAUCAUGGCUCAGAACGAACGCUGGCGGCGUGCUUAACACAUGCAAGUCACGGGGGCUCGCAAGGGCAACCGGCGAACGGGUGCGUAACACGUGAGCGACCUACCUCGAAGAGGGGGAUAGCCGGCCCAACGGCCGGGUAAUACCGCAUACGCUGGUUGGGGGGCAUACCCUGGCCAGGAAACCUCCGGGGCUUUGAGCGGGGCUCGCGGCCUAUCAGCUAGUUGGCGGGGUAACGGCCCACCAAGGCGACGACGGGUAGCUGGUCUGAGAGGAUGGCCAGCCACAUUGGGACUGAGAGACGGCCCAGACUCCUACGGGAGGCAGCAGUGGGGAAUCUUGCGCAAUGGUCGAAAGACUGACGCAGCGACGCCGCGUGUGGGAGGACGCCCUUCGGGGUGUAAACCACUAUUGCCCGGGACGAAACCCUGGUUUCGACCAGAUUGACGGUACCGGGUGAGGAAGCACCGGCUAACUCUGUGCCAGCAGCCGCGGUAAUAC
RNAcentral lists this ribosomal RNA (506 nucleotides) under uncultured bacterium. Its description in RNAcentral is "bacterial SSU rRNA". It matches the Rfam family "Bacterial small subunit ribosomal RNA", at positions 8 to 526 of the family's 1533-position model. The record is from RNAcentral.